UCCAGAGGUUCAAAUCAGUGGUUCAAACACAGGGAAUGGUUUAGCAGUCAUGCUACCAAAGAGGUUUUUCAUAACCCAACCAGAGGGAAUGUCAAAUCGUUUAAUUGUGUCUACCUGAUCACAUGUGUCAAAUGCGGGGUUCAAUAUGUGGGAGAGACUGGGAAUACCAUUGCCACCCGUAUGACACAACACAAACAUAAUGUCAAACAGAAAAAGACACGCACGCCACUGGUGAAACACUUCAUUUCUCAUGGUUGGAAUUCUGUCUGUGUGUGUGUCAUUGAGUGCAACCCUAGAUGGAGUGCUCCCCAGAGGAGGAGAGCAGAGAGGGUGUGGAUCGCCAGAAUGGACACAAGGCAUCCCAGUGGCCUGAGGGUGCUGCAGGUAGUGAGGUAGUGCAGGACAGUGCAUGGAUGGUCUUGUUUACAGGACCAUCGCAACUCUCUAACUCCUAACCCUUCUUUCCUAAACCUAACAAUACUCCUGAUGCCCUAAAUACCAGGAUGAUCUUUUCCUAACCACAACCUGUUGUAAAUAUUUGUAAACCUAAUCUGGUAUUCUUUCCUAAACCUAACAAUACUCCUGAUGCCCUAAAUAUCAGGAUGAUCUUUGCCUAACCACAACCCAGGGUUAACAUUUGUAUACCAGCCCGAUAACCCGAUUCCUAAACUUAAUAUUAUUCUUUUGGCCAAAGUCAGCAAUAUUGGCCUAACCAUGAUCAGCUCGAGAAGGCAAAUAAAAAUUUAAGAAGUAUUUAUUUUAUGUUUCAUUUAACAACAUUUUUCAAAUCUGACAGCCUGUUAUGCUUUUCUUAAAAUUAUUUUACGGACUCACCGAAAGGAUUUUGGAUAUUUCAUUAAGAAUUGUUUGGGAUGUGUUAUCAGUUAUAAAUAUGUUCUGUGAAUGUAUUGUUUCAGUGUACUGAAUUGAGAUGUUUAUGAACCUGAGUGUUAGGUCAUGUGUAAUAACGGUUUUAUAGUUCAUAUCCAUGUGUUUAAGGACUUUUAUAACUGUAUUGUUCCAUGCAGUCCUGUUCUUUUUGGAUUUGGGAGGUGGAAAAGGAGGACGAAUAGAUUUGCAGCAUACUGUAUAGAGUUAAUCUCCUCUGAUUGGUUGAGUGACAGGUGACCCCAAUCCUGCUUAUAGCCUGAAGAAGAGUCAAAAUAACUCGAAACGUUGCUAUCUUUCAUUUCGCUAUUUUGGUUUUUAAUAUUUUGUCCUUUUUGCCUUAAUAAAAAGUUAAAAAGGAGCUAGAGACUCGGAAAACUUUUUUGAGGCGUAAAAAAGCAGUGCACGCUAAUUAAACGGAUUGAGCAUGACGCGGUGGGACCGAGCCGACGACGACGGGUGGGUCUUGGUGUCCAGGGGCAGACGUCGUCGGAGACCGGACCGCAGCCCGGUAUGGUACGCCAAACCCACUUCCCCACGGAGAGGUAGGGAAGUUUCCCGAAAGCGCCGGAGAAAUGAGUCCGACCGCAGGGCGCGCGCACCGGACGACGGCCGGGAAACUAGUUAUCCGUCUCGCUGGCACCGCACCCCGUCUUACGACGGUCGCCGUACGUACGUCUCGGUAACCAGGGGCUACCGUACGGACGAUUAUGAUGACAUCACCCGAGCUCCACAACAGCAGCGCGCGGAGCAGCACAGAGACACACGGCGCGUGGACGACAACAGACCGGGGGACCGCGGACGCGCACCACCGCAACAGAGACCCGUUCCUCAACGUGAUGAAAGACGGGGAGAGAAUGACGGCGGACAGAGGGGAAGGUUCCAAAACUUCCCAGACAGGAUGCGCACUCGACCGGAAGUGAGCGAGGGGCACACCAGACUCAGGUCAGACGACCCUGAUUUUGCUCGCAAAUGCCACAUUUUGCAUAGAAUUAUUAAGUCGGUCCACCACUUCAUAAAUGUGAGCUCCAACAAAAUACCCCUGACUAUUCACCGUAUGAUGAAGCAAUUAAUGACUUUUAUUAAACCUGCAUGGCUCAACCCAGAGACUGUGACUUUAAUUGAAGGGAAUGCAAAAAAUUGGGCUCACCCAACAGUCACCAUCCUGUGUAAGCACUAUGACAGCGCAAUAGGGAAGGACGUAGAGGACCUUUCCAAGCUGUCAGACGCAGAUUGGCGUCCCCCAUUUGAAGUGGCCUCUACCUGGGCCAGGAGAAACCUGGGCCGCAGAUUGGCACAGGGGACUCUGACGGAAGCAAUGGCGGUGGUCGUCAAUGGAUUGGAGCGGGCCCGGGGUCUUGCGAACCCAACGGCACCACAACAACCGGUCCGACAGGACGACACAUCGGGGGACAGGCCACUGCGCAGACGACCAAACCAGCGCCUCAACACAACUGCAGCAGCGGCCCGAGACACAGCACAACGACAGGCUGCAGCAGAGACUCCUCUCAGAACGGGGCGGAGCGCUCCAGCCUCAUCUUCAGUGGUGGCACAGGUGCACGCUACAGCCGCAGGUAACUCCCCAGCACUACUAAGAACACCUGACACACCUCAACGCACCACACAGGAGGAGGAAGAGGAGGAUGGAGGAGCAGGAAGACGUGGUGGGGAUUGAAGAGGAGGAGGAGAUGGAAGAAGAAGAGGAGGAGGAAGAGGUGGAGUCGGACGCCUCACCGGAGAGACAUAAUUGGUCACCGGACGUCGGGAUAAACUGGGAAGAGUCCCGGAACGUGGUUCGAGAGCAACCACGGGAGCAUGCCGAUACGACCAGAAAAAUUAAAGACUGGCACCUGAACAUUAGAAAAAAGUGGGCGGUCAUUGGGGAUUCUAAUAUUCAUAGAAUGCCACGCCAUAGCAUCACUGACUUACAAAUUGACUCUUUCCCGGGUGCCACUUCCAGACACGCUCAGGGCAUCCUGGAGAACACCACAGCAUCCUGUGCAGUGGAGAAGAUUAUAUUGUGUUUUGGUUUGUGCAAUAAAGAUCAGAAAGCUAAGGAAACAGCUGUUAAACAAUUGCAAGGUCUCUAAGAACGGCUAAACUUCGCUUUCCUCGUGCAGAAAUCUUUGUCCCUCAGGUGAACUUCUCAGAUGACCUGCCCAUCAGAGAGAAGGCCAACCUAACGCAGCUGAACGCAUACAUCGGGUCCAUGGGUGAGUGCAUUCCCAGUUUACCUGAAGCUGCAUUCCGGACACAGGCGGACGGGGUUCACUGGACGUCAGAGACGGCUAAGGCCAUGUUUGAACACUGGAAGGCUUAUUUAAAUUAAAUGUCCCCAGAAGCCUGCUUACGCAGGAGGGGAAUAAAUCAGUUAUUAAUUAAAAGUACAAGCAGCCCAAAUUCGGUAGAUUUUUUGAACACGACAACGUUUAAGGAAAAGGGUUUUAUAAAUUCAGUUUUCAUCCGUGACAUAAUAUUCACAAAGUUGUGUAAACUUACAACUAUUCAGAUUCCACCGACAAUGCUUCAAACUAUGUGAUUUUGACAAAGCAGUUGAAACGUCAUGUUACGCAUUAGCCACUAGAGGGAACUCCAGGGAUCCUCAAAUCCCUUGUGUUUAUUUAAUAUCCUGUGAGUGGUGGGACAUGCAGUAUGUUGGGGAGACUGGGAAUGCACUCUCCAUCAGAUUUACACAACACAAACACAACAUCCUCAACCACAAGAAAACAUACACACCAUUAGUAAAGCAGUUUAUUGAACACAAAUGGAGGUUAUUGUCAAUAACAAUUGUUGAAUCUUGAGCCAGGUGGACCAUAAUCCAGAGACGAACUGCAGAGAGGAAAUGGAUCGCGAAGCUUAACACAAAGCAGCCACAUGGGCUGAACGAACAUUGAGGGUCCUGGAGUUGGGCCUAGCGAUGGACAGUACACUGGGAGCGGUGUUGCCCUGGCAAAACGGCUGCCCCAAACCCCUAACCCUCUAACCCUAACCCUGCCGGACCGUCUUUUCACCGAGCUGACCAGAGCGACAACAUGAUGGCGGCCAGGAUGACAGGUACACGGGACGUCCCGCUAACCGCGGUCCCCGUCCAAGACCCGCACAGCCCCGGUCCUUCGACUCCCGCUUUCAACGCCCCCCCUAUAAUAAUAACGGAAACAAUAACAACGUAAAUAACAAUAACACGCAAUACCAGCGAAACCAGAACAAUGAGGGCGCUCAGAAUAGGCCCAGAUCUGACGACCCACUUUUUACUGUUAAAUGCCGGAUCCUCCAUAAGAUCAUUAAAGCAGCACAUCAUUUUUCUAACAUUGUUAUAACACACCCACCGGUCACGAUCUCUAGAAUGACCCAGCAGUUAGCCGCAUUCAUUAAGCCGGCUAUUCCCAACACGGCCACGCAGAUGCUGAUUGACGGCAACGCUAAGAACUGGGAACACACUGCGUUGGUCAUUUUACAGGACCACUAGGAGUCUGUGAUAAAGGAGGAAAUCCGGAACCUUCACAGACUCAAUAGUCCAGAGUGGAGUGACCCGUUCGAGGUGGCGGCAGCCUGGGCCAAAAGGCAGUUUGGCCGCAGACUCGGCCCAGACACAUUAAAAGAGGCCAGAGAGACAGUUGUGGACUGGAUGGCCGGUCUGGCGGUAGAUGAGCCAAUACAGGCCCC
This is a long non-coding RNA of Gasterosteus aculeatus aculeatus (three-spined stickleback), 4551 nucleotides long. NCBI's taxonomy places the organism in Eukaryota, Metazoa, Chordata, Actinopteri, Perciformes, Gasterosteidae. The record is from Ensembl.